GGGCAAGUCUCCCACGGCCAGCUCCCGCUUAACCCCCCAGGGCCGGAAGGCAGCAAGGGCAGGUGGUCGUAGCGGUGCGAUGGGAAUCGCUUGCCCUCU
This 99-nucleotide signal recognition particle RNA is filed under the name Flavobacteriales bacterium. Its description in RNAcentral is "signal recognition particle sRNA small type". It matches the Rfam family "Bacteroidales small SRP". From Rfam's summary of the family: The non-coding component of the signal recognition particle in Bacteroides Lineage: Bacteria; Pseudomonadati; Bacteroidota; Flavobacteriia; Flavobacteriales. The record is from RNAcentral.